GCAAGUCGAGGGGUAACGGGGCAGCUUGCUUCCGCCGACGACCGGCGCACGGGUGCGUAACGCGUAUACAAUCUACCUUAUACUGGGGUAUAGCCUUUAGAAAUGAAGAUUAAUCCCCCAUAGUCUCUUAGAGUGGCAUCGUUUUAGGAGUAAAGGUUACGGUAUAAGAUGAGUAUGCGUUCUAUUAGUUUGUUGGUGUGGUAACGGCACACCAAGACUACGAUAGAUAGGGGCCCUGAGAGGGGGAUC
RNAcentral lists this ribosomal RNA (249 nucleotides) under uncultured bacterium. Its description in RNAcentral is "partial 16S ribosomal RNA". It matches the Rfam family "Bacterial small subunit ribosomal RNA", at positions 57 to 305 of the family's 1533-position model. The record is from RNAcentral.